RNAcentral lists this ribosomal RNA (492 nucleotides) under uncultured bacterium. RNAcentral describes it as "partial 16S ribosomal RNA". It matches the Rfam family "Bacterial small subunit ribosomal RNA", at positions 29 to 507 of the family's 1533-position model. The record is from RNAcentral.
AGUGAACGCUGGCGGUAGGCCUAACACAUGCAAGUCGAACGGUAACAGGCCUUCGGGUGCUGACGAGUGGCGAACGGGUGAGUAAUGCAUCGGAACGUACCCAGAGGUGGGGGAUAACGCAGCGAAAGCUGUGCUAAUACCGCAUGUGAUCUGAGGAUGAAAGCGGGGGACCGAGCAGCAAUGUUUGGCCUCGCGCCUUUGGAGCGGCCGAUGUCGGAUUAGCUAGUUGGUGGGGUAAAGGCCUACCAAGGCGACGAUCCGUAGCUGGUCUGAGAGGAUGAUCAGCCACACUGGAACUGAGACACGGUCCAGACUCCUACGGGAGGCAGCAGUGGGGAAUAUUGGACAAUGGGCGCAAGCCUGAUCCAGCCAUACCGCGUGGGUGAAGAAGGCCUUCGGGUUGUAAAGCCCUUUUGUUGGGAAAGAAAAGCAGCAGGUUAAUACCCCGCUGUUCUGACGGUACCCAAAGAAUAAGCACCGGCUAACUUCGUG